Long non-coding RNA from Neopelma chrysocephalum (saffron-crested tyrant-manakin), 176 nucleotides. RefSeq lists it as uncharacterized. The transcript is spliced from 3 exons. Lineage: Eukaryota; Metazoa; Chordata; Aves; Passeriformes; Pipridae. The record is from RefSeq and is a predicted model, not a curated record.
UUCCCCCCCAACCCCAACAGGUUUGCAGUGCAGACCGUCAAAGCCCUGCUGCGCCAGCUGCUGGAUGAGGACGUGGUGAUGGUGAUCCAUCGCAAGUGUGGCUGGGACAUGCUCCUCAAGGCUGACAGCCACCACUAUGCAGUGGGUCUGCUGGCCAGGGAGCUGUGCCGUGUCUC